CAAGGCUGCUCUUCUUCCUAUAGGGGAAACAACUAAAACUGAGUGCUGGUUUAGGGGAAGGACUGACACCCUGGGGCCAAUAACAGGACAAUGUUCCGCAAAGAGGUGGCAGGGAAAGAAUAGCUACUGAUUAGCAGCAUAACCAAAGUGCACAGGAAACCCUGGUGUUCAACAGCAUGUUAAAGAAAACCCAGGAGCAACAAUAAACAGCAAAAACAAAGUGAUGUACUGCAGGAGCUGAGUAGCAUCAUAUUUCCAUAUUGGGAAGAAAUCUUAAGACAGAGAAUGUGGGACAAGUUUCAGAGUAGCAGCCCGAGCUAUCAAGGUCAGUGUAAGUGGGCUGCAUUUGAUAAAGGGAUGCUACUAAAAUCCCCAUUCAAUGUGUGAAUGCUUCACUGGCUGUUCUCUUUGAGCUUGAAUGAAG
Long non-coding RNA from Dermochelys coriacea (leatherback sea turtle), 424 nucleotides. RefSeq lists it as uncharacterized. Lineage: Eukaryota; Metazoa; Chordata; Testudines; Dermochelyidae. The record is from RefSeq and is a predicted model, not a curated record. The transcript has 3 exons.